Molecule: ribosomal RNA, 498 nt
Filed under: uncultured bacterium
Lineage: Bacteria
Description: partial 16S ribosomal RNA
Rfam family: Bacterial small subunit ribosomal RNA
Source: RNAcentral
GACGAACGCUGGCGGCGUGCCUAAUACAUGCAAGUCGAACGAGAGCGACCGGUGCUUGCACUGGUCAAUCUAGUGGCGAACGGGUGAGUAACACGUGGGUAACCUGCCCAUCAGAGGGGGAUAACAUCCGGAAACGGAUGCUAAAACCGCAUAGGUCUUCGAGCCGCAUGGCUUGAAGAGGAAAAGAGGCGCAAGCUUCUGCUGAUGGAUGGACCCGCGGUGCAUUAGCUAGUUGGUGAGGUAACGGCUCACCAAGGCCGUGAUGCAUAGCCGACCUGAGAGGGUGAUCGGCCACAUUGGGACUGAGACACGGCCCAAACUCCUACGGGAGGCAGCAGUAGGGAAUCUUCCGCAAUGGACGCAAGUCUGACGGAGCAACGCCGCGUGAGUGAAGAGGGUUUUCGGAUCGUAAAACCCUGUUGUUAGAGAAGAACAAGUGCUAGAGUAACUGUUAGCGCCUUGACGGUAUCUAACCAGAAAGCCACGGCUAACUACGUG